This 164-nucleotide ribosomal RNA is filed under the name Angraecopsis pobeguinii. RNAcentral's name for it is "5.8S ribosomal RNA". It matches the Rfam family "5.8S ribosomal RNA". From Rfam's summary of the family: 5.8S ribosomal RNA (5.8S rRNA) is a component of the large subunit of the eukaryotic ribosome. It is transcribed by RNA polymerase I as part of the 45S precursor that also contains 18S and 28S rRNA. The record is from RNAcentral. Lineage: Eukaryota; Viridiplantae; Streptophyta; Magnoliopsida; Asparagales; Orchidaceae.
AACACGACUCUCGGCAAUGGAUAUCUCGGCUCUCGCAUCGAUGAAGAGCGCAGCGAAAUGCGAUACGUGGUGCGAAUUGCAGAAUCCCGCGAACCAUCGAGUCUUUGAACGCAAGUUGCGCCCGAGGCCAACCGGCUGAGGGCACGUCCGCCUGGGCGUCAAGC